RNAcentral lists this ribosomal RNA (739 nucleotides) under Gossypium hirsutum (cotton). Its description in RNAcentral is "Bacterial small subunit ribosomal RNA". It matches the Rfam family "Bacterial small subunit ribosomal RNA". Lineage: Eukaryota; Viridiplantae; Streptophyta; Magnoliopsida; Malvales; Malvaceae. The record is from Rfam by way of RNAcentral.
GAUAACGAAGAUGAGAUGCCUCCUUUGGAAGAUGCUGAUGAUGUGCAUACUCAUGAUGAGUAUGAAGAAUACUUGGAGUAUGGUGAGAAAGCACUUGUUGCUCGAAGGGCUUUAAAUGUCCAGUUUAAAGAGGAAGGGCGGGUCCGAGAGGAUGAUCAGGCACACUAGGACUGAGACAUGGCUUAGACUCCUAUGGGAGACAGUAGUGGGGAAUUUUCUGCAAUGGGUGAAAGCCUGACGGAGUAAUAUCGCAUGGAGGUAGAAGGCCCACGGGUCAUGAACUUCUUUUUCCAGAGAAGAAGCAAUGACGAUAUCUGGGGAAUAAGUAUCGGCUAACUCUUUGCCAGUAGCCGUGGUAAUACGGAGGAUGCAAGCGUUAUUCGGAAUGAUUGGGCGUAAAGUGUCUGUAGGUGGCUUUUUAAGUCCGUCGUAAAAUCCCAAGGCUCAACCCUGGACAGGCGGUGGAAGCUACCAAGAUGGAGUACGGUAGGGGUAGAGGGAAUUUUUGGUGGUGCAAUGAAAGGCGUAGAGAUCGGAAAGAACACCAACUGUAAAAGCACUCUGCUGGGCCGACACUGACACUGAGAGACGAAAGCUAGAGGAGCGAAUGUGAUUAGAUACCCCAGUUUUCCUAGCCGUUGAUACGAGCCAAGGAUGUGACACUCAAAGGGUUGUCUUUCUUAGUGGUCCAAUCACUCGACGCAAGGCACGACAAUUAAAAUCAAAGAUGAAUGCUUUU